Molecule: ribosomal RNA, 1599 nt
Filed under: Triticum aestivum (bread wheat)
Lineage: Eukaryota; Viridiplantae; Streptophyta; Magnoliopsida; Poales; Poaceae
Description: partial small subunit ribosomal RNA
Source: RNAcentral
AUGCACCCCUUCUUCCUCCUCCUCCUCACUUUGUUGAUUCCCCAUGAAAUCGUCUCCGGCACAACAGCCGCCACCUUGUGUAACCGCUGGUGCGGCGACACCACCGUCCCCUACACCUUCGGCUUCUCCGACGGCUGCCCCAUCGCCCUGUCAUGCGACGCCGACACCUCCACGCCGACCCUCUCGUACACAGGAGGCAGCGGCACGUCGUACCGCGUUGUCUCCUUCAACUCCACCAUCUCCACCGUCAUGGUCAGCCUCCCUGUGUCGUGCAUCCGCAGCGUCCCCGAUGUCAGGAGGGCGCUCUCGGGCGCCAAUUACGGCGUCUCCGCGCGCACCAUGCUCUCCGUCCGAGGGUGCCACAACGCGUCGGCAUCCAGCUGUAUCAUACCCGCGGGCGUCAUUUCGAGGCUGCUCGACACGGCGCGGUGCGACGGCAGCGAUGCCUCCGUGAAGUGUGUCGCCUCCGUUGCGCCGAACGCCUCCGCCGGGUUGGCGUACAGGCAGUUCCUGCGGUGGGAAAACGUAGAGAGGGCCAACUGCGAUGACGUGCUGGCGUCGGGGGUGUGUCUGGACAUGGUGGAUGGGGUGCUGUCGCUGGCCAACGAGGUGGCGGAGCUGGCGUGGUGGCUCAACGGCACGUGCGUCGUCGGCGGCGGGGGUUGCGCGGCGAACGCGACGUGCUCCUAUGUAAAUACGCCGAGCGGGUCGGUGGGGCGGUGCACGUGCGUGGCAGGGAUGAACGGCGACGGGUUCUUGGCUGGAGACCGAUGCUACGUCGCCUUUAGUACCGGUUGGUGCCACGAACCGGUACUAAAGGUGCUGGAGGGCCCCAGACUGACAACAUCCUGCCACCACUCUCUUUAGUACCGGUUCGUGGCACGAACCGGUGCUAAAGGUUCGCCACAAACCGGUACUAAUGAGAGCGGCCGGCUAGCCGUUGGAACCGGCACUAAUGGACACAUUAGUGCCGGCUCAGAAUCAAACCAGCACUAUUGUGUCUCAGAUUUGACCCUUUUUCUACUAGUGGUCUUACAACAAUUAAUAUAUAUGCAAUUCCUCACUUCUCUUUGAUACUUUUAACAUUUCAGAUAUGAUAUAGUGCUCGGUGUAGGUUCGGCGCUUCUAUACCUGCACCAAGAGACGGAGCAACGCGUGGUGCACAGGGACAUCAAGCCUAGCAACAUCAUGCUAGACGCCUCCUUCAUCGCCAAACUCGGUGACUUUGGGCUCGCGAGGCUCAUCAAUGAUGGCCGGAAAUCGCACACUACCGCUCUAGUCCAGGAAGACGGUGACGUCGUCCACCUGGUGCAGUGGGUGUGGGACUUGUACGGCAAAGGAUCAAUUCUAGAUGCCGCCGACGAGCGACUUAAGGGGGAGUUUGACAGCACGGAGAUGGAGCGUGUUAUGGUCGUGGGGCUCUGGUGCGCGCACCCUGACCGUGCGAUGCGGCCAUCCAUCAGGCAAGCGUUGAACGUGCUGCGGUCCGAAGCGCCAUUACCAAGCCUCCCGGAUAGGAUGCCGGUAGCGACCUAUGGGCCACCGACUAAUCAUUCGAGUUCCGGAACUUUGGCGCUGAGCAGCGUCAGUGGCCGGUGA